CAGCAGCCGCGGUAAUACGAAGGGGGCUAGCGUUGUUCGGAAUCACUGGGCGUAAAGGGCGCGUAGGCGGCCAUUCAAGUUAGAUGUGAAAGCCCUGGGCUCAACCUAGGAAUUGCAUUUGAUACUGGGGAUCUCGAGUCCGGGAGAGGUGAGUGGAACUGCGAGUGUAGAGGUGAAAUUCGUAGAUAUUCGCAAGAACACCAGUGGCGAAGGCGGCUCACUGGCCCGGUACUGACGCUGAGGUGCGAAAGCGUGGGGAUCAAACAGGAUUAGAUACCCCCGUAGUCCCUGUCUCUUAUAC
RNAcentral lists this ribosomal RNA (301 nucleotides) under uncultured bacterium. RNAcentral describes it as "partial 16S ribosomal RNA". It matches the Rfam family "Bacterial small subunit ribosomal RNA", at positions 509 to 807 of the family's 1533-position model. The record is from RNAcentral.